GUGCUUCUUUGGAAGCACAUACACUAAAAUCUUUGUGAUAUAGAGAAGAUUAGCAUGGCUCCUGCACAAGGAUGACAUGGAAAUUCAAGAUGUACAGAAAACUAAA
This is a small nuclear RNA of Ochotona princeps (American pika), 106 nucleotides long. The record is from RefSeq and is a predicted model, not a curated record. Lineage: Eukaryota; Metazoa; Chordata; Mammalia; Lagomorpha; Ochotonidae.